This 3384-nucleotide transfer RNA is filed under the name Paramuricea clavata. The stretch from base 2751 to 2823 matches the Rfam family "tRNA". Lineage: Eukaryota; Metazoa; Cnidaria; Anthozoa; Malacalcyonacea; Plexauridae. The record is from RNAcentral.
GGAAACAUGACUAGGAAACAAUGAUUCCUGGUUUGCCUACCUUCAGGAGACAUGGCUAGGAAACAAUGAUUCCUGGUUUGCCCACCUUCAGGAAACAUGACUAGGAAACAAUGAUUCCUGGUUUGCCUACCUUCAGGAGACAUGGCUAGGAAACAAUGAUUCCUGGUUUGCCCACCUUCAGGAAACAUGACUAGGAAACAAUGAUUCCUGGUUUGCCUACCUUCAGGAGACAUGGCUAGGAAACAAUGAUUCCUGGUUUGCCCACCUUCAGGAAACAUGACUAGGAAACAAUGAUUCCUGGUUUGCCUACCUUCAGGAGACAUGGCUAGGAAACAAUGAUUCCUGGUUUGCCCACCUUCAGGAAACAUGACUAGGAAACAAUGAUUCCUGGUUUGCCUACCUUCAGGAGACAUGGCUAGGAAACAAUGAUUCCUGGUUUGCCCACCUUCAGGAAACAUGACUAGGAAACAAUGAUUCCUGGUUUGCCUACCUUCAGGAGACAUGGCUAGGAAACAAUGAUUCCUGGUUUGCCCACCUUCAGGAAACAUGACUAGGAAACAAUGAUUCCUGGUUUGCCUACCUUCAGGAGACAUGGCUAGGAAACAAUGAUUCCUGGUUUGCCCACCUUCAGGAAACAUGACUAGGAAACAAUGAUUCCUGGUUUGCCUACCUUCAGGAGACAUGGCUAGGAAACAAUGAUUCCUGGUUUGCCUACCUUCAGGAAACAUGGCUAGGAAACAAUGUUCCCUGGUUUGUCUACCUUCAGGAAACAUGACUAGGAAACAAUGUUUCCUGGUUUGUUCACCUUCAGGAAACAUGACUAGGAAACAAUGCUUCCUGGUUUGCCCACCUUCAGGAAACAUGACUAGGAAACAAUGAUUCCUGGUUUGCCCACCUUCAGGAAACAUGACUAGGAAACAAUGUUUCCUGGUUUGCCCACCUUCACGAAACAUGACUAGGAAACAAUGCUUCCUGGUUUGUCCACCUUCAGGAAACAUGGCUAGGAAACAAUGAUUCCUGGUUUGCCCACCUUCAGGAAACAUGGCUAGGAAACAAUGUUUCCUUGUUUGCUUACAUUCAGGAAACAUGGCUAGGAAACAAUGUUUCCUGGUUUGCCCACCUUCAGGAAACAUGGCUAGGAAACAGUGUUUCCACAAAAAGGUUACAAAAACAUUUUGGCAUAAUUUCCAAACAUCACUCGUACUAUUAAUCCCUAAUUGUACUCCCCAUCGCAUGAUUACCUAUACUUAUGCUGGUAAAAAAAAAAAAAUAAAACAUACAGAUGAAGAUUUAUUCCAAGAUACAUUCUAUACAGAAAUACAGUGGCGAAAAUUUCGGUGGGGUGCAAUUAUCCUCCAACCUUUACGUACGUUGAGUGUAUAAAUGCAUGGGGAAAGGGGCUUGUCGAAAAUUCAGUAGCACUCUAAAGACUUCCAUGGUUAAAAAUCUCCUGGCUAAUGUAAAAUUAACACUGUUUGGGGGUAACAUAAUGGUUAAAUUCUUGGUUAAUAGUCAAACUAACAUAAUCUGGUUAAUUCAACCAUAUAUAGCAUGGUUAAAUUAGCUAUGAUAAAAUUAACCAGAACUGUGGAAAUUUAACAGGAAACAUUAAGCUACCCAAACAGUGUUAGAUUAACCAAGAAAUUCUAAACUAUAGGGUGUUUCCAGAGUGAGGCUUUGUUCCCCAUGACAGGAAAAAAUAAUUUCCGCCACUGUAGAAAUAAUUUCUGUCAUAUACUAACUAGUUAAAAUACAUUAUUUACUCUACAAAAUGCUACUAUACUCAGAGUCUAAUAAAAUGUUUGCGUUUUGGUCGGAUACCUGAAAGACACGUGAAAGUUUGCCUUAAUAGAGAGGUUAAGAUACCCCGGUUUCGGUGUACGUGUACGGGUAGCGUGAUUUUUGUUAGCAAUAUUUUCGUCGAUGUCUGUAGCUUUACUCGUAAUUAAGGUGCACAUUUUUCGCAUUAUAUCGUUGUCUAUUGCAAGAAAACAGAAAAAGUAUGAUCGAAUUGCAGACAUCAGUAAAACAAGAUGACACUACUCGCACCCGUUCACCGAAACCGGGGUAUCUUAGGCCCCGUUUACACUAUACCGGAUUGCUAUCGGAGUGGGUCAAAUUUUGUAGGUAUCGAAAGGCUGUGAAGAUUUUUAAUCUCAGAGACCCAAAUAAACAUGCCAAUUCUGCCAAACUAAUAAGCAUUUGCUACUAACCAUUGCUCCGUAACGGCAAAAGAAGAUGUCGUGACCAGCGAAUCCGGUAUAGUGUAAACAGGGCCUUAACCUCUCUAAUCUUUUCAGGACGUUCCGCCCAAAAACACGACAGUUUAUUGCUGAAUACUGCUACGGUGCCCCAUAUUAUAGCGUUCUAAGAACACUCGGGUUAAAAUAUUUCGGGCUAGUAUAGGUAAUAGUAUGGUUUCGUGUGCAACUUGGAAAAAGAUAUGCACGAGUGAGUUUUUCAAAGACGAUCAAAAUUGCGCGAGUCCGAAGGACGAGUGGAAUUUGAAGUCCUUGAAAAACUCACGAGUGUAUACUUUUCCAAAUUGCACGAGAAACCAUACUAUUACUUAUUAAUAAUAUACAUGAAAAAAUUAUAUAGUUACAACUCCUACAUCUGCUGUGUUGGUGUAAUGUACUCAGGUAAAAAAGUACAUUACACCAACACAGCAGAUUUCAUAAAAUAUUAGAUUACACUGAUAUCGAAGGAACUAGACUCAGUUCCGAAAUAUCGCUUACUCGAACCGUCCUGACCGCGUAGCUCAGUUGGAAGAGCAUUGGGCUAGUAUUCCAAAGGUCGUAGGUUCGAAUCCCGCCGUGGCCAGGCAUGUUUUUCGGGCCUGCCCGGUGUGGAUAUACACUCAGAGUAACAUCACACAAACAUCUUAUUCACCUGAGUACAUUACACCAACACAGCAGAUUUCAUAAAAUAUUAGAUUACACUGAUAUCGAAGGAACUAGACUCAGUUCCGAAAUAUCGCUUACUCGAACCGUCCUGACCGCGUAGCUCAGUUGGAAGAGCAUUGGGCUAGUAUUCCAAAGGUCGUAGGUUCGAAUCCCGCCGUGGCCAGGCAUGUUUUUCGGGCCUGCCCGGUGUGGAUAUACACUCAGAGUAACAUCACACAAACAACUCCUACAUGUUGGGUUUUUGUAUUAUUUCUUCUGGAAAUUGCUGUAUCUUAUUGGCUAUCUUUGUUAUUGUUUCAUAUUUUAAGCCAAUCAGAGAGCCUAAAUAGUCAAUGAAAUUUGCACUGUAUUUCUUUUUUUUGCACAGUAUUUCAUUUUUUAGCGCUGUAUUUCGAAAAAAUUGCACUGCUCUGAGCCAAUCAGCAUUGAGAAAUGUUUUCAUGUAUAUUAUUAACCAGGAAACUUACCCAGGAAUAUA